CACGGUCACCAUGGGAGAGAAAGGAACCGUGAGGUUCAAGCUCUAGCCUCGAUCGUCCGCUUACAUAAACCUUAAUAAAUCGAGUGUGUGUGAAAAUCCGCCAUAUUCAGAAAAUGAGUUGAUCAACUGGGCGGAAGAAUGGAUCAGGAGAAGGAGCCAAAAUGCUGCGCAAAUGGAUCAAGCUGGAGCAAAUGGCAUGCAGCGGGAGCACCCAAUGAGAAGACUGAUGCAUCGCAUAAGAAAGAUCCUCAAGGGCAAAGGGUAAAUCAGACUUUUCAGAGAACAAAUGCCCUAAGGAUCAAGACCUCACGCCUUCCUAUAAAUGGAGAUAGAGAAUGAGGAAGGAGGCAACUUCUAGGGCGACACUCAUUAGUUUUCACUUCUCUUCUAGAGAUGGAAUUGGGAGCUCCAAAUACUUCAUAUUCAUGAUUUCCGUCACACACACUUGGUCCUGUUCUAGUUUAGUUUAGUUUAGUGGUAAUUUGGUGUUGGUUUUAGCUUUUAAUCGUUCUGUUCUUGCUAUUCCAAUUCGAGAAGAAGUGAUGAAAUGAUUUCAUGUA
Salvia splendens (bonfire salvia) is the source of this 560-nucleotide long non-coding RNA. RefSeq lists it as uncharacterized. Lineage: Eukaryota; Viridiplantae; Streptophyta; Magnoliopsida; Lamiales; Lamiaceae. The record is from RefSeq and is a predicted model, not a curated record. The transcript has 2 exons.